GACGAACGCUGGCGGCGUGCUUAACACAUGCAAGUCGAACGGACAGGCCCUGCUUUUUUGGGGUGCUCGCGUUGCCAACGGGUGGGUAACACGUGCGUGACCUGCCCUUGUCUUUGGGUUAACUUCCGGCAACUGGGGCUAAUACCUGCUAGGUGCUCCUGAUCCAUGGUUGGGGUUGGAAAGUUUCGGCGGUUGGGGGUGGACUGGCGGCUUAUCAGCUUUUUGGUGGGGAAGUGGCUUACCAAGGCUUUGACUGGUAGCCGGCAUGUGGGGGUGACCGGCGACAUGGGGACUGAGAGACGGCGCAGACGGCUACGGGAGGCAGUAGUGGGGAAUAUGGCACAACGGGCGGAAGUCUGAGGCAGCAACGCCGCGUGCGGGAUGACGGGUUGCGGGGUGUAAACCGCUACCGCCGGUGAUGAAGCGUGAGUGACGGUAAUGGGUAAAGAAGCAACGGCUAACUACGUG
Molecule: ribosomal RNA, 468 nt
Filed under: uncultured bacterium
Lineage: Bacteria
Description: partial 16S ribosomal RNA
Rfam family: Bacterial small subunit ribosomal RNA
Source: RNAcentral